Molecule: microRNA precursor, 74 nt
Organism: Lepisosteus oculatus (spotted gar)
Lineage: Eukaryota; Metazoa; Chordata; Actinopteri; Semionotiformes; Lepisosteidae
Product: microRNA 152
Source: Ensembl
CCUGAGCUGAAGUUCUGUGAUACACUUAGACUCUGAGUGUGGGGAAGUCAGUGCAUAACAGAACUUUGGCUCGG